AUUCCAUAACAUUAUUUUACAUUUUAUUCUUAUGGAUUUGGUCCGUAAUUGGCCUGUUAAGACAGGCCAAUGUUGCUGACAUUGUUGAAUGCGGACUACACAAUCACCUUGGUCUCGUGGGACCUCACACAUUUAUUAUUGUUUGUCUUUUUGACAGUUUGUUUUUAGCCUAUCAUAUUACGUUUACUUGAUUUGGGAUCUUGUGAGGAUCACCGGGAUAUCGUCAAAACAUCAGGAUUUGGACGUGUUAAUUAUGUUCGGCAUGUGGGUCCGUAAAGCAGAGGUUCGGGAUUUAGAGAUUGAUUCAACUAUUUGAUUAUAACUAAAAAUAAGCGUACUUAUUUAACAUAUUGAAUAUAUAACAUAAAGCGGUUAACAAUAUUAAGCUAAUAACUAAAAUUACAAUCCUCGACAGAUAGUGAGUUCCGCCGUGAUCUUCCACACAUAUCUGAGAGAGAGUUUUGCCGAUCAUAUAUCAAUAAUUCAUCUUCAAGUAAUCCAUAUACUAAACACGAAAUGUCUAAAUGUUCACAAGUUCGUUUUGCACAGUUCACCAUAUUUACAGUCUUCAUUGACCGUCGUCAUAAUCGUCCGCCUUUGUCCUCCGUUAUUCUUCGUCGAUCAUCAUCGUCGUCCCUCGUCUAUUCGUCGUUGAUCGUCAUCGUCGUCCCUGCAAGGGAGUACCUUUUGCGAGUCUCCGGCUCUGACAGUCUUUUACACCACUGUUCCGUUUGUCUUUGUCGGCACUAUAAUUUAUUUAUUUUUAUAUUUGUUAAUUACACAUUUUAAAAUUUUCACGUAAUGUCUGGUGCAGCCCCUGCGGGUGGGGGCCAGAAUUCACCCGACGUUUGGCCCGCGUGUUGUAAGAGGCGACUAAAGGGACCCCCAAUCUUAAAGGUGUGAGCU
RNAcentral lists this long non-coding RNA (906 nucleotides) under Androctonus crassicauda. The record is from RNAcentral. Lineage: Eukaryota; Metazoa; Arthropoda; Arachnida; Scorpiones; Buthidae.